UGAUUGGACACAUAGAUAAACCCCCUGCUGUUCAGAGAAGUAAACCUUAUUAAAAUGUGUGUUUCGUUCCUUUUAUUGGAAUGAAAAUUAAUGAUACUAGAUUGUUUAAGUAUUUGAUAGUUUUUAAAAUAUGCUUCCAUGCAUCCAAAAACAGGGAUCAGAGCUGAUAGAAUAAAGUUAACUGCAUUACCAACUUGAAAAGGGGAAAAGGGUUGCACAAAUUGGAAGGAGAAAAAUAGAAAUAGUAAAAAACAAUCUACCAAACAGGCAAGGUUUUUUAAAAAUCCCUGUAGAAUCUGAAAUGACCAAACCAAAUCAACAUUUAAAACACCAA
This 334-nucleotide unclassified non-coding RNA is filed under the name Hevea brasiliensis (rubber tree). Lineage: Eukaryota; Viridiplantae; Streptophyta; Magnoliopsida; Malpighiales; Euphorbiaceae. The record is from RNAcentral.